This 417-nucleotide ribosomal RNA is filed under the name Triticum aestivum (bread wheat). RNAcentral's name for it is "partial small subunit ribosomal RNA". Lineage: Eukaryota; Viridiplantae; Streptophyta; Magnoliopsida; Poales; Poaceae. The record is from RNAcentral.
GUUUCUUGGAGAGCUAUGACUCAACCAAAGAAGUGUGGCUGCUAGGGAUUCAGGGACCUCGAGCUCUUCAACCUAGCGUUGUUGGCUCGGAAAUCUUGGCGCUUUCUUGCCGUGCCUGACUCACUUUGUGCACAGUUUCUCAAGGCCGUCUAUUAUUAAAGCAAUGGUAUUCUUAAUGUCGAACUAGGAUCACACCCGUCUCAAGUAUGGAGGUUCAUCUUGGAGAGAAGAGAUGUACUCUCACAGAGCAUCAUUAGGCGCAUUGACGAUGGCGCAACCACACAGGUUUGGACUGAAAAAUGGAUCCCGAAAGACGCAUCGAUGAGACUAGUUGCUUGCCUGGCCAGCUACCAUCCUACAUUUUCCAGCAAUCUGAUUGAUAGCACUUUGACGCCAUGGAGAGAUGAUAAGUUGUAG